This 605-nucleotide long non-coding RNA is filed under the name Mytilus galloprovincialis (Mediterranean mussel). Lineage: Eukaryota; Metazoa; Mollusca; Bivalvia; Mytilida; Mytilidae. The record is from RNAcentral.
UAAUAGGAUAACUAUAUUUGAUAUGUGCAUACCUUGCAAGGUCCUCAUGUCUGUCAGACAGUUUUCACUUGACCUCGACCUCAUUUCAUGGAUCAGUGAACAAGGUUAAGUUUUGGUGGUCAAGUACAUAUCUCAGAUACUAUAAGCAGUAGGGCUAGUUUAUUCGGUGUAUGGAAGGACUGUAAGGUGUACAUGUCCAACUGGCAGGUGUCAUCUGACCUUGACCUCAUUUUCAUGGUUCAGUGGUUAUAGUUAAAUUUUUGUGUUUUGGUCAGUUUUUCUCACACUAUAUGCAAUAGGUCUACUAUAUUUGUUGUAUGGAAUGAUUGUAAGGUGUACAUGUCUAGCGGGCAGAUGUCAUGUGACCUUGACCUCAUUUUUAUGGUUCAGUGGUCAAAGUUAAGUUUUUGAGAUUUGGUCUUUUUAUCUAAUACUAUAUGCCAUAGGUCAACUAUAUUUGGUGUAUGGAAAUAUUUUAUGAUCUUUAUGUCAGUCGCGCAGGUUUAAUUUGACAGUGACCUCAUUUUCACGGUUCAUUGCAGUGUUAAGUUUUUGUGUUUUGGUCUAUUUUUCUUAAACUAUAAGUAAUGGGUCAACUAUAUAUG